GAUCGGCCAAGUUCACCCCCAAUGGCAGCAGCUUCAGCAUUUCCUGGCAAUCUCCUCCGGUCACUUUCACAGGCAUCCCAGACCUCACAAAAGCUUCUUAUUGUCAACCACUGGCAUCUCCCGGAGGUUUCCAGCAAAGUCUAACGCCUUCUGUGGAACUGAUAAAAAUGAAAGUGGCUGAAUGAAUUGUGCUGUGCUCUGUUGAUGAAUAUUUAUUAAAUUCCAUAGAGGAAUAGCCAAGAA
This 243-nucleotide long non-coding RNA is filed under the name Homo sapiens (human). RNAcentral describes it as "non-protein coding lnc-PAG1-8:1". The record is from RNAcentral. Lineage: Eukaryota; Metazoa; Chordata; Mammalia; Primates; Hominidae.